UGGGGAAUAUUGGACAAUGGGGGCAACCCUGAUCCAGCCAUGCCGCGUGAAUGAUGAAGGCCUUCGGGUUGUAAAGUUCUUUUGGUGGGGAAGAUAAUGACUGUACCCACAGAAUAAGCUCCGGCUAACUUCGUGCCAGCAGCCGCGGUGAUACGAAGGGAGCUAGCGUUGUUCGGAAUUACUGGGCGUAAAGGGCGCGUAGGCGGUCUCGCAAGUCUGAUGUGAAAGCCCUGGGCUCAACCCGGGAACUGCGUUGGAUACUGUGAGGCUAGAGUUCGGGAGAGGUGAGUGGAAUUCCCAGUGUAGAGGUGAAAUUCGUAGAUAUUGGGAGGAACACCAGUGGCGAAGGCGGCUCACUGGACCGAAACUGACGCUGAGGCGCGAAAGCGUGGGGAGCAAA
RNAcentral lists this ribosomal RNA (400 nucleotides) under uncultured bacterium. RNAcentral's name for it is "bacterial SSU rRNA". It matches the Rfam family "Bacterial small subunit ribosomal RNA", at positions 355 to 772 of the family's 1533-position model. The record is from RNAcentral.